This 441-nucleotide ribosomal RNA is filed under the name Triticum aestivum (bread wheat). Its description in RNAcentral is "partial small subunit ribosomal RNA". Lineage: Eukaryota; Viridiplantae; Streptophyta; Magnoliopsida; Poales; Poaceae. The record is from RNAcentral.
AUGGCAGGAUCUAGAUCGAGUGUUCAUGGAGAAAACCCUGGGGAAGAAGAUGCCCCGGUCACACAUACCGAGCUGCAGUGACUCGAGAACAACUUACUCCAAGCCAUGGAAAGGAUGCUACACGAGUGUCCUCCAGUAGGUGGGGAUAGGGUUCGACACCGACAACACCCUAUUGAUCCACUUGAAGAAGUUGGGUAUGAGAAUUCCGUGCAUGUUGCUGUUGACGGUGCCUUGGAGGAUGAUAAUGAUAAUAUCCAACUACAAGGAAUCAUCGUAGCAAUUUCCAAAGGUCGAAGUGAUAAGUAUGGAGUGUCGAACCCACAAGGAGCUAAAGGCAAGAUCAUAUUCUCUCAAGUCCUAUCCGCCACUGAUACGACUCUACGUACACUGAACGUUUGCUUCCAUCUAGAAAUGAGAAAUAAAACUACGUUGUGGUUAUGA